This 881-nucleotide ribosomal RNA is filed under the name uncultured archaeon. Its description in RNAcentral is "bacterial SSU rRNA". It matches the Rfam family "Archaeal small subunit ribosomal RNA", at positions 42 to 922 of the family's 1478-position model. The record is from RNAcentral.
AGUUAAGCCAUGCGAGUCUAAAGGUUUCUUCGGAAACCUUGGCGGACUGCUCAGUAACACGUGGAUAACCUACCCUUAGGACUGGAAUAACCCCGGGAAACUGGGGAUAAUACCGGAUAGAUCAGGGAUGCUGGAAUGCACCUUGAUCCAAAGCCCCGGCGCCUAAGGAUGGGUCUGCGGCCUAUCAGGUUGUAGUGGGUGUAACGUACCUACUAGCCGACGACGGGUACGGGUUGUGAGAGCAAGAGCCCGGAGAUGGAUUCUGAGACACGAAUCCAGGCCCUACGGGGUGCAGCAGGCGCGGAACCUUUACAAUGUGCGAAAGCAUGAUAAGGGGACUCCGAGUGCCAGCAUCUAAUGCUGGCUGUCCUUGUGCCUAAAAAGCACAAGAUAGCAAGGGCCGGGUAAGACCGGUGCCAGCCGCCGCGGUAACACCGGCGGCCCGAGUGGUAGCCGCUAUUAUUGGGUCUAAAGGGUCCGUAGCCGGUUCGGUAAGUCCUUUGGGAAAUCUGGUUGCUUAACAAUCAGACUGCCAAGGGAUACUGCUGAACUUGAGACCGGGAGAGGUAAGAGGUACUUCAGGGGUAGGAGUGAAAUCUUGUGAUCCCUGGGGGACCAUCUGUGGCGAAGGCGUCUUACCAGAACGGGUCUGACGGUGAGGGACGAAAGCUGGGGGCGCAAACCGGAUUAGAUACCCGGGUAGUCCCAGCCGUAAACGAUGCUCGCUAUGUGUCAGGUACGGUGCGACCGUAUCUGGUGCCGUAGGGAAGCCGUGAAGCGAGCCACCUGGGAAGUACGGUCGCAAGACUGAAACUUAAAGGAAUUGGCGGGGGAGCACUACAACGGGUGGAGCCUGCGGUUUAAUUGGAUUCAACGCCGGA